This 760-nucleotide ribosomal RNA is filed under the name Klebsiella quasipneumoniae subsp. similipneumoniae. Its description in RNAcentral is "partial 23S ribosomal RNA". It matches the Rfam family "Bacterial large subunit ribosomal RNA", at positions 765 to 1527 of the family's 2925-position model. Lineage: Bacteria; Pseudomonadati; Pseudomonadota; Gammaproteobacteria; Enterobacterales; Enterobacteriaceae. The record is from RNAcentral.
ACUGGAGGACCGAACCGACUAAUGUUGAAAAAUUAGCGGAUGACUUGUGGCUGGGGGUGAAAGGCCAAUCAAACCGGGAGAUAGCUGGUUCUCCCCGAAAGCUAUUUAGGUAGCGCCUCGUGAAUUCAUCUUCGGGGGUAGAGCACUGUUUCGGCUAGGGGGUCAUCCCGACUUACCAACCCGAUGCAAACUACGAAUACCGAAGAAUGUUAUCACGGGAGACACACGGCGGGUGCUAACGUCCGUCGUGAAGAGGGAAACAACCCAGACCGCCAGCUAAGGUCCCAAAGUCAUGGUUAAGUGGGAAACGAUGUGGGAAGGCACAGACAGCCAGGAUGUUGGCUUAGAAGCAGCCAUCAUUUAAAGAAAGCGUAAUAGCUCACUGGUCGAGUCGGCCUGCGCGGAAGAUGUAACGGGGCUAAACCAUGCACCGAAGCUGCGGCAGCGACACUAUGUGUUGUUGGGUAGGGGAGCGUUCUGUAAGCCUGCGAAGGUGACCUGUGAGGGUUGCUGGAGGUAUCAGAAGUGCGAAUGCUGACAUAAGUAACGAUAAAGCGGGUGAAAAGCCCGCUCGCCGGAAGACCAAGGGUUCCUGUCCAACGUUAAUCGGGGCAGGGUGAGUCGACCCCUAAGGCGAGGCCGAAAGGCGUAGUCGAUGGGAAACAGGUUAAUAUUCCUGUACUUGGUGUUACUGCGAAGGGGGGACGGAGAAGGCUAUGUUAGCCGGGCGACGGUUGUCCCGGUUUAAGCAUGUAGGCUG